UACGUAAGAGGCUAGUAUUAUUCAUAAGAAUUAGGUUUAAAGGGUACCUAGGCGGUCUUAAUAGCUUGUUAAAAAUGCAACUAUUUGACUAGAGUUAUAUAUAAGAGGGCAGAACUUUAGGAGGAGAGAUAAUAUUCUGUGAUACCGAAGGGACUGGUAACGGCGAAGGCAGCCCUCUAUGUAGUAACUGACGCUAAGGGACGAAGGCAUUGGUAACAAACAGG
Molecule: ribosomal RNA, 224 nt
Filed under: uncultured bacterium
Lineage: Bacteria
Description: partial 16S ribosomal RNA
Rfam family: Bacterial small subunit ribosomal RNA
Source: RNAcentral